Molecule: long non-coding RNA, 2341 nt
Organism: Micropterus dolomieu (smallmouth bass)
Lineage: Eukaryota; Metazoa; Chordata; Actinopteri; Centrarchiformes; Centrarchidae
Exons: 2
Source: RefSeq, a predicted model, not a curated record
UAGAGCAGCGUUACACUGUCGAGCUGUCGUAGAGCAGCGUUACGCUGUCGUAGAGCAGCGUUACGCUGUCGUAGAGCAACGUUACGCUGUCAAGCUGUCGUAGAGCAGCGUUACGCUGUCAAGCUGUCGUCGAGCAGCGUUACGCUGUCAAGCUGUCGUCGAGCAGCGUUGCGUCGUCGAGCAGCGUUGCACUGUCGUCGAGCAGCGUUGCACUGUCGUCGAGCAAUGUUACACCGUCAAGCUGUCGUAGCGCAGCAUCACACUGUCUCUGUUUUCUGUCUCGUCAGGUGGCGGUCACUUCUUCAACAGGAACUCAAUGUCUCCUCGCAGCAUCGUCUGUGACACGGAGCUGCCAGACAUCCAGGCCUCCCUCAACCUCUACGACGAUAACAAGUCCUGAGGCUUGUCGUCAUGGAUUCAUCCCCCCACCUCCACCUGCUGAUGGAGGACCAACCUUUUAUGGACGCUGAAAGUGUUUAUGUUGAGAGGGUUGUCUGAUAAAGAAGACCUGGAUGAACUUUUAAACAUCAUUUAUUCCAUCAGACAGUACUGGUCUAGAUCCCGGUCUCAAGUUUGGACUUUCAUGUUUUAUAUUUAUUUUCCCCAGAAGAAGAAACUGGAAAAAAAUUGUUAAAAAUACGUUAUAAAACAAAAAUGUCAGAUAACCAAACUCCACAUCCACCUCCAACCCAGGAACCAGAACCUGAACUAGUUCUUCUGGUAGAACUGGAGAUAAUGUUGUUGAGGUUCUAGAAAAGUGUUGGAGUCCCUGAAAGUGCUCUUGUGUUCCUGGAAAAGGGUUCUUGAGUUCCGGGAUAGUUCCUAAAUUCCUUAAAUGGUUCUUGGAAAGGUCCUGAGUCCUUAAAAAUGAUCCUGGGUUUCUGGAAAGGUUCCAGGGCUCCUUCGGAGAAUCCUGGAACAGUUCCUAACAAGGUCCUUGGAAAAGGGUUCCUGUGUUCCUCUAAAAGGUUCCUGGAUUCCUAUUGGGGUUCCAUUGUUCUGAAAAUGCUCCUGAGUGCCUACAAAAGAAUUUCCAGACUCCUGGAAAACACCUGAUGUCCUGAAGAGUUUCUUGGUUUACUGGGAAGCUUUGUGAAUUGAGGUGUUCCUGAAUUCUUCAGUGGUUUUCUGAACAGGUUCCCAGGCUUCACAAAAAGGUUCUCUGAAAGUUGUUUGGAUUCUAGCAAGACCCUGGAAGCAUUUCUGAGGUGUUCAAAAGAUUUGUGGGUUCUCAAAAACUUUUUCUAGUUGCUAUGAAGGUUCCUGAAAAGGCUUCCUGUGUUCCUGGAACGAAGAUCCAAAACAUUGUACCAGAGAACAUCUUACCUGAACCUAAAUGGACCUGAAAUCAUCAGGGCCAGAACCUAAAUAGACCUGAAUGGGUCAGGACCAGAACCAGAACUAACCCGGAAAACAAAAGUUGUAACCAGCCCUGUCAUUGGUUGACUGAAGAUGACAUCAUUAACAGAUUCUUUUGUGCUCUUUUCUUUUGUGAUUCUGUCUUAAGACCUAAACCUGGAUCAGAAUUCCUUAACUGUAGAUAUAGACCAGGCUGGUUCUUUUUGUUCAACAUGAGACUGGAACCAGGACCAGAGGAAGACCUGGUCCUCUAUAGAGACUUGGAGAAAACGGUCUUGAACUUUAACAGUGUUAACUUUCCUGUAGCAAAAACACGUUUCUCUGUAGAACAAAGUCAGACAAGAAGACGAGUAGCGCAGAGGGAAACUGUUAGCGUAGCUCCAGCAACCUCCAGUCUCUCAACUAACUGGCCAAUCAGUGCAUCGUGUAGUCAGCUGAUUUAGAUGAUGUAGAGUCAACACAUCUUGGGUCUUCAGGUCUGUGAGCCAAUGAGGAGAGAAACGUUCUGUACUGCCACAAACUGUAAAGCAAAACAACAAGUAGGUUCACUGUCAUUGUGUUUCACUCCUUUCUGUUAAAAAGUUUCCUCCAGACGGAGCUUCAACAGAAACUCGUCCAGAUACGCCCGACCUGCUGCUGUGAGAACACGAGCUCAUUGGCUGAUGGAGAUAAACAGCUGGUGGAGUCGCUGCCAGUAAACCACCAAAGCAGAAGAAGAGGAUGCAGUGAGGCGAUGUCAUUAAAGAGCUGCAGUCAAAGCUCAAACAUGAUGACAGUGUUAGUGUCGUGUUCAUGUGAGGAAGGUCGCAGCCUCCUCAUCGUCACUGCUUCGUGUACGGCAGCGUUUCUUCAUCACCUCCGUUUCUGUUCGUCUACAAACUGGUUUCACGCCUCAGACAGAAACAGGAAACUCUUUUAAACACAUUUCCACUGAGAUUUAUUUCUGUAGAGACUGGAAUAAAAACGGGAGUAUGGAAACGCA